This 902-nucleotide long non-coding RNA is filed under the name Ornithorhynchus anatinus (platypus). RNAcentral's name for it is "lncRNA (ENSOANG00000045183.1)". The record is from RNAcentral. Lineage: Eukaryota; Metazoa; Chordata; Mammalia; Monotremata; Ornithorhynchidae.
AGCAAGACAGUAGGUGAAAGUCUAAGCUGCUUUGGAAGGAGUGAGUAACUCUGACUUUGAGAAGUGUCUGAGCUGAGGAAAGGUGGAACUGUGGCUUGGAGAGGAUCAGCAGAGGUAAAAUUUGAAGAGGGGUUCAAAGAAAAGGAAACAUCCUUGGGAUCUUCAGAGGAACCCAGGGAGAAACUCCCAUGUCUCUGCCAGAGGAACGCUGCUGUCUUUGGAAAGCAGCAUUGAAGUUGAAGAAGGCUGAUGGAAACCAAUGACAGGACAUCCUUUAUUGCUUCUCCUGCUGCAAUUUAUUUCCAACAUUGCCUUGUGUUCAACUGAGGGGAGAUGAACAGCUGGCCAUCAACCUCCCUAGCAGAUUGGUAACUUGUCUUGAAAGUGCCAGAGGACAGAUUUCACAGGCUCCAAAAUCCUGACAAGUGUUCAGCUACAAUUGUAUACCUCAGCUGGGUAGAUCUUUCACCUGGCUACUGAAUUAACCCAAAUAUGGAUAAGGUUUUCUUUCAGCUUUGUCUUGUCCUCUCUUUCCCUCCUUCCCUCCCACCCCCUCCAAAUUCCCUAAGUACAAACUAGUCCCUCUCUCUUAUGCAAAUCCUUAAACUGCAGCACCCAUCCUCCCACAGGUACCCAAAAGUCUAAAGGCCAAACUGAGCCAUUUUUUUAAGAGCAGCUUGAUGGAAGCAAGAAUAUUACUUUGUCUGAGCUUUGGAUUUGCAAGUUUAAAUCUUCUUUAGUGUCAGGUGCAUCCAACAAGAUAAGGGUUUUAAGUGUAUUUCAUGGUAGAAAUAUUCUGAGAUUAAUUUAAAGUAUCUUAUUGAACUCAAUAUUUAUAAAUCUCAUUAUCAUUACUAUUCCUCUUCCAACACUUGUCUUUUUAAAAAUUGUGAAACUAUUUU